CCACAAACAAGCAUUACAGUGCACUCACAGGUCUCUCAUCUUACUUACAAAAGGAGCUCCAGAGACAUUUUUAUUUCUUGGACAUUGAUAUGUACAGUGGGUGUCCCACCAAAACCACUGAUUUUGUUGUUUCAUUGGUUAAACUGCUCUGUAAAUAGGAAAAACAAAAUCUUCCUUUACCCCACCAAUGCCUUACAAAGUUGCUCAGGAGAAUUUGUAAUGCAUGAGGCAGCAGCAGUCCCAUAUUAACUUACAGACUCCAGACAUUAUGCAACCUGAAACUUUCCUAAUUAUACUGGCCUCAACAAUUCCUGCCCACACUUUCACAUUCUCCCACUCUUACAAGUGUGUAUAAAAUCUAGGGUGAUUUAACCCUUUAUCAAAACAGAAUGCUUGGUUUUUAAUUAUUUAGAGGAAAAAAUAAUUGUUUCUGACCUUAGCAAGGCAAUUCAUCCGAACCCAACUUUGACAUUCAGACUUCUGGAAAAGGGGCAAAGGGGCCUGAAGAUGGUGGACACCUUGCUGAAAACCACACUUAUUCACCACUGGACAAAAGUCAAGAUAAGGACAGAGGUUCCCUCAACAGUGACGAGCAAAUGCAUCUUCAGAUGUCAGUUUGAAUUUUGCUCAGGACAACACAGUUGUUGGCUUGCUCAACUCGGAUGCUCCAAGUUAUCUCUCAGGAGGCCCUGAUAUCCUGAUAGGUCCUGAUUCUCACAAGUUUCUCAGAGUCAGAGUGGGAGACCCAGGACAGGAGGCCUCAAAGGACCAGUGGAAGGAUAUAAAGAGAAGGCUAACAAGGCCACUCAGUUGUUAUUUGGAGACUCAUCAUUAAAUGCUGUUUUCCAGGGAAGAGAGAGCUGAGAAUGGCUCAAACUGUUGGAAUUACAAAUAAACCUUUUAAAACAGAUCCCAGGUGGGAUGAAUAAA
This is a non-coding RNA of Meleagris gallopavo (turkey), 930 nucleotides long. NCBI's taxonomy places the organism in Eukaryota, Metazoa, Chordata, Aves, Galliformes, Phasianidae. The record is from RefSeq and is a predicted model, not a curated record.